RNAcentral lists this ribosomal RNA (708 nucleotides) under Budvicia diplopodorum. RNAcentral describes it as "bacterial SSU rRNA". It matches the Rfam family "Bacterial small subunit ribosomal RNA", at positions 14 to 728 of the family's 1533-position model. The record is from RNAcentral. Lineage: Bacteria; Pseudomonadati; Pseudomonadota; Gammaproteobacteria; Enterobacterales; Budviciaceae.
UGAUCCUGGCUCAGAUUGAACGCUGCGCAGGCCUAACACAUGCAAGUCGAGGGCAGGGAAAGUGCUUGCUACUUGCCGGCGAGCGGCGGACGGGUGAGUAAUGUCUGGGGAUCUGCCUGAUGGAGGGGGAUAACUACUGGAAACGGUAGCUAAUACCGCAUAACGUCGCAAGACCAAAGCGGGGGACCUUCGGGCCUCGCGCCAUCAGAUGAACCCAGAUGGGAUUAGCUAGUAGGUGGGGUAAUGGCUCACCUAGGCGACGAUCCCUAGCUGGUCUGAGAGGAUGACCAGCCACACUGGAACUGAGACAGGUCCAGACUCCUACGGGAGGCAGCAGUGGGGAAUAUUGCACAAUGGGGGAAACCCUGAUGCAGCCAUGCCGCGUGUAUGAAGAAGGCCUUCGGGUUGUAAAGUACUUUCAGCGAGGAGGAAGGCGGUAAGGUUAAUAACCUUACGAUUGACGUUACUCGCAGAAGAAGCACCGGCUAACUCCGUGCCAGCAGCCGCGGUAAUACGGAGGGUGCAAGCGUUAAUCGGAAUUACUGGGCGUAAAGGCACGCAGGCGGUUUGUUAAGUCAGAUGUGAAAUCCCCGAGCUUAACUUGGGAACUGCAUUUGAAACUGCAAGCUAGAGUCUUGUAGAGGGGGGUAGAAUUCCAGGUGUAGCGGUGAAAGCGUAGAGUCUGGAGGAAUACCGGGGAAGGGCCCC